ACACCUCAACUCCCAUGGCUCGCCAUGGUGAGCUUGGACUUUGGGGGUUUUGCUGGCCUACGGUCGGCUCCUCUCAAAUGAAUUAGCCUGCCAGUGUUUGGUGGCAUCACAGGUGUGAUAACUAUCUACACUUGUGGUUUUCUGCCAGGUAACCUCCAGCAAUGGGGGUUCACUGGGGCUCAUAGACGUCUCUCCCUCAGCGAGGACAACUCUUUAAA
RNAcentral lists this unclassified non-coding RNA (218 nucleotides) under uncultured Tomentella. RNAcentral describes it as "sequence contains ITS2". The record is from RNAcentral. Lineage: Eukaryota; Fungi; Basidiomycota; Agaricomycetes; Thelephorales; Thelephoraceae.